This 58-nucleotide transfer RNA is filed under the name Linevichella vortex. RNAcentral's name for it is "tRNA-Lys". Lineage: Eukaryota; Metazoa; Arthropoda; Malacostraca; Amphipoda; Micruropodidae. The record is from RNAcentral.
CACUUAGUGGCCGAAUAGGUGUAAGUCUUUUAAACUUAUUAUAGUAAUACUCUUAGUG